Trichobilharzia regenti is the source of this 52-nucleotide non-coding RNA. The record is from Rfam. NCBI's taxonomy places the organism in Eukaryota, Metazoa, Platyhelminthes, Trematoda, Strigeidida, Schistosomatidae.
AUCCAGGUGACGACGAGUGCCAAAUAGGACGAAAUGCGCAUCCUGGCUGGAU